AAUGGGAGAUGUUCUUUCAUUUGUAGAGAAGGCACAAGAAGUCAUGCGCCAAGAAGAUGCUGAAGACUUGCAAAAGAAGAUAAUGAGUGCCAAGUUUGACUUCAAUGAUUUCCUAAAGCAAACUCGCGCAGUUGCACGUAUGGGUUCCAUGACUCGUGUCAUAGGGAUGAUCCCAGGAAUGGGGAAGAUUACUCCUGCACAAAUUCGAGAAGCGGAGAAGAGUUUGAAGAUAAUGGAAGCAAUGAUUGAAGCAAUGACUCCUGAGGAAAGAGAGAAGCCAGAAUUGUUGGCAGAAUCUCCUGACAGGAGGAAGAGAGUUGCUCAGGAUUCCAGGAAAACAGAGCAGCAGGUGAGUCAACUUGUUGCUCA
This 369-nucleotide unclassified non-coding RNA is filed under the name Hevea brasiliensis (rubber tree). Lineage: Eukaryota; Viridiplantae; Streptophyta; Magnoliopsida; Malpighiales; Euphorbiaceae. The record is from RNAcentral.